Molecule: ribosomal RNA, 279 nt
Filed under: uncultured bacterium
Lineage: Bacteria
Description: partial 16S ribosomal RNA
Rfam family: Bacterial small subunit ribosomal RNA
Source: RNAcentral
UGCCAGCCGCCGCGGUAAUACGGAGGGUGCAAGCGUUAAUCGGAAUUACUGGGCGUAAAGGGCGCGUAGGUGGCUAUGUUAGUCGGGUGUGAAAGCCCCGGGCUCAACCUGGGAAUUGCAUUCGAAACUGCAUGGCUAGAGUACGGUAGAGGGAAGCGGAAUUCCGGGUGUAGCGGUGAAAUGCGUAGAUAUCCGGAGGAACACCAGUGGCGAAGGCGGCUUCCUGGAUCGAUACUGACACUGAGGCGCGAAAGCGUGGGGAGCAAACAGGAUUAGAUA